AUGAUAAAGGAGAACUUGAAGGUUUUUGUGAUUGGUCUUUGUUUCAGCAUGAUACUCAUUCUGGUUUUUGCACCUCUCACUUGUUCUCUGGUGAUUAAAAGGCUGAAAACAUCAUACUGGCACAGUGUACCCACCCCAGGAAACAGCACUGCACUCCAAGAUAUGACUAAUUGGAAACCUCUUUCAAGGUCACUGCUUCAGGCCCUGUCAGACAAUGAUACCACCAGCCUUUUUGUCAUAGAGCAUGAGUCAAAGGUUUCUCUGACGCUUGACCUCUCCACAGAGGUUGGAGAAGACAAGCAUAACACCUGCCAGUCAGAAAAACCUAGCAAUAACAUAGAUGUGAGCCUGAGGCAUGAAGAAAUCCCUGCAGAAGCAGUUACAAGUGAAGAAGACGCCAUUCCCACGGAAGUAGCAUUCUUGAGUGACUAUGCCAGCAUGGAGUUUAGUCAGAAAGCCCUGAUGAGUCUGGCAGUGAGCACACCUGAAAGAGCUGCUCAUCCUCAUCUGAAAAUGGAACUAAGCAGUAAGCCAGCAAAAACUGUGCAGAAGGUUUUGUUUGCUUCCCAGGACUACCUCAAACAAAGCCAGGUGGUACGUCUGCCAUCUGGACCAAAUUUCAUGGGACAAGUCAAUUAA
Molecule: long non-coding RNA, 639 nt
Filed under: Taeniopygia guttata (zebra finch)
Lineage: Eukaryota; Metazoa; Chordata; Aves; Passeriformes; Estrildidae
Description: lncRNA (ENSTGUG00000023361.1)
Source: RNAcentral